AAAAAAUAUAUAAUCAUUGGCACUUGACACUAAUCAAUGACUUUUGAAUAUAGAUACAGUCCAACCAAGCCACCAGCUAUUGCAUGGUAAGUCGAGGAGAUAAACAUUCUAACCAUUGUUUAUCAUUAUCAUGCACAUUAUUAUUAAGAUGAAAUGGGAAAGUACACCAAAGUACACCAAACCCCAGAAAACAUUUCUAAUAAGUAACUUCCAUGAACAGAUAUGGGAAUAUCUAAAGUCGUGGAGCUGCUUUCCAAAGUGCUGGAAGAAAAUAAAUUGAUGAAAGCGGAAAUUACCAACCUGGGGAGUGAAGUGAGGGCGCUUAGGAGAGAGAUGGUGAGGCCGGUAGCACCAGAAGCUGCCGCUUCGUCCAUCAAGCUGCCUCUGAGGACAAUGGAGGAGUUUCAAUUAGCAGAGGCUGUUAUGAGAGAAACCCCCUGCGAAAAACAAAAGAUGAUCUUAACAUUCAGUCUAAUUGGAGGGCACACUGCAGAAGAGCCCGUAAGAAGGAUGUUGCAGAGUGGCCUAACAAAUAACCUGGCGUGUCGCUUCAACUGGGCAGGGAAAGGCUUCAAGGAAGCCUUUAAAAGCACUGUCCUUAGUGAUGUACUGUUCGCUGCACUCCAAUAACAGCUGCCAGGGACCACCCAUAUUGUUUUUUCAGGGACACUGAAGAAGUGGCUUAAAUAUGCACCGGAGAGAGAGGGAGGUGGAGGGAGGCGAACAAAUGAACGCGAUCAGGUAGGCCUAUCGCUUGUUCCACACACCAUGCGUCCUUCGACGGUAUGAGCGUCGCGAGUCACGAGUGCGACACUGACGCCCCGUGCCCACUACCUCCGUCAGUUGUCCGUUGCCCAUUGACUUUGAAUGGGGACGGUCGCGCAAUGCAUUGUGGAUCCGUCCGUUGACUUGGAGCGUUCGCCACCGUCAAAAAGUUGAAAAAUGUUCAACUUUUUCGGCAGCGACGGAUCCGUCAUCCAAUCAGAUCGCGUAUGCAAAUUUAAGCACUGUGACGCGACUCGGGCUCUGACGAUACUGGAAAGCGGGAAAGCGGGUAAUCUUGCCUCGCAACAAGCAGGAAGAAGCGGGAAGAACCCGGCGAACCGAUUUGAUUGGCUGACGGAUGCAUCUGCAAAGACUACUCCCCCAUCCGUCAGCCACGCCUUCUGACGUCCGUUGACUGACGGUGCAGUGGGCACGAGGCGUGACGCCCCGUGCCCACUACCUCCGUCAGUUGACCGUUGCCCAUUGACUUUGAAUGGGGACGGACGCGCAAUGCAUUGUUGAUCCAUCCGUUCAGUUGGAGCGUUCGCCACCGUCAGAAAGUUGAAAAAUUUUCAACUUUUUCGGCAGCGACGGUUCCGUCAUCCAAUCAGAUCGCGUAUGCAAAUGUAAGCACUGUGACGCGACUCGGGCUCUGACGAUACUGGAAAGCGGGAAAGCGGGUCAUCUUGCCUCGCAACAAGCAGGAAGAAGCGGGAAGAACCCGGCGAACCGAUUUGAUUGGCUGACGAAUG
RNAcentral lists this long non-coding RNA (1517 nucleotides) under Gadus morhua (Atlantic cod). RNAcentral describes it as "lncRNA (ENSGMOG00000022652.1)". Lineage: Eukaryota; Metazoa; Chordata; Actinopteri; Gadiformes; Gadidae. The record is from RNAcentral.